UACGGAGGGGGCUAGCGUUAUUCGGAAUUACUGGGCGUAAAGGGCGUGUAGGCGGCUUCGUGUGUCAGAUGUGAAAUCCCUCGGCUCAACCGGGGAACUGCGUGGGAAACUGGGGAGCUUGAGUCCGGGAGAGGUGAGUGGAAUUCCAGGUGUAGCGGUGAAAUGCGUAGAUAUCGGGAGGAACACCGGUGGCGAAGGCGGCUCACUGGACCGGUACUGACGCUGAGACGCGAAAGCCUGGGGAGCAAAC
This 250-nucleotide ribosomal RNA is filed under the name uncultured Acidobacteriota bacterium. RNAcentral's name for it is "uncultured Acidobacteria bacterium partial 16S ribosomal RNA". It matches the Rfam family "Bacterial small subunit ribosomal RNA", at positions 524 to 773 of the family's 1533-position model. The record is from RNAcentral. Lineage: Bacteria; Pseudomonadati; Acidobacteriota.